This is a long non-coding RNA of Cucumis melo (muskmelon), 942 nucleotides long. RefSeq lists it as uncharacterized. The record is from RefSeq and is a predicted model, not a curated record. The transcript is spliced from 3 exons. NCBI's taxonomy places the organism in Eukaryota, Viridiplantae, Streptophyta, Magnoliopsida, Cucurbitales, Cucurbitaceae.
CUUAAUUACUUACUGUUUAUUCACUUCUUUUUUCCAUCUUAAAUACAACCCUCCUAUCUUCUUCGUUUUCCCUAUAUUCAUUCUCUCAUUUCCUUUUUUCUCUCUUUUUUAGGACUUUUUCUUGUUUGGUUUCUUAUAAGAUCACUUCCAUGGUGGUUUCUUGUUGAAAAUUUGAAGUUUAUUCAAGGGAAAAUCAAAUGAUUUGAAGACCUAAUUUCAUGUGGGUUUUGUUUUAGCAAAGGAUUUCCCAAUAGAGUUUAUUGGCAUUCUGUCCACCUCCCCUCCUUUCUUCAAAUCUUUUUAUUCAAAUUUUUUGGUUUUUGUUUUUUUUUUUUUUUUUUAUAAAGAAAAUUUAUUUAUAAUAUAGGGGGAGGUGGGCAUACUGCCAACUGAGUUCUGUUGGAUUCUCUUUGUUACAACCCUCAUGAUGCCUCUUCUCUUUCAUCAUCUUUCAUUUUUUAGUUCUUUCUGAUGAGAAAAUAUAUACAAUUUCUAAGCCAAAUAUUUAACAUCAUUAUAUCAUUUUCUUUUUAUUUGUUCAAUGUUCUCUGAAAAUUUUCUCAUCAUGCUGUUUUUCCUCAGCUCACUAUCAUGGAGAGGUUCCUUUCUUUCUCAGCUUAUGGGGCCAAAAUGAUGAAGCCGAAGAUGCUUCCAUUAUUUACCCAUUCGUCCGGCGGCGCGUGAGUUCUCCACGGCGGCGGAGAAAACAGUAAAAGAGUUUUGUUUAAAAAAUAAUAAUAAUAAUAAUAAUAAUAAUGGAGUUUUGUGUGUUUUUGGUAUUGGAAUUUGAGCCUUUUGAAGAUCUGAUAUGAUCUUCUUCAAGCUUUGGAGCUACCUAGGGUUUGCCCUUAUAAUUCUCUGCCCUUUUCACAGUCGUAGGGGAAUGGAAUGGAAUGUAUUCUCUCUCUAAUUUAUUAUUAUUAUUACUUUUUCAAAUCUCAA